Molecule: ribosomal RNA, 433 nt
Filed under: uncultured bacterium
Lineage: Bacteria
Description: partial 16S ribosomal RNA
Rfam family: Bacterial small subunit ribosomal RNA
Source: RNAcentral
AGCGAACGCUGGCGGCAGGCCUAACACAUGCAAGUCGAACGAACUCUUCGGAGUUAGUGGCGGACGGGUGAGUAACACGUGGGAACGUGCCUUUAGGUUCGGAAUAACUCAGGGAAACUUGUGCUAAUACCGAAUGUGCCCUUCGGGGGAAAGAUUUAUCGCCUUUAGAGCGGCCCGCGUCUGAUUAGCUAGUUGGUGAGGUAAAGGCUCACCAAGGCGACGAUCAGUAGUUGGUCUGAGAGGAUGAUCAGCCACAUUGGGACUGAGACACGGCCCAAACUCCUACGGGAGGCAGCAGUGGGGAAUCUUGCGCAAUGGGCGAAAGCCUGACGCAGCCAUGCCGCGUGAAUGAUGAAGGUCUUAGGAUUGUAAAAUUCUUUCACCGGGGACGAUAAUGACGGUACCCGGAGAAGAAGCCCCGGCUAACUUCGUG